This is a long non-coding RNA of Prosopis cineraria, 1262 nucleotides long. RefSeq lists it as uncharacterized. The transcript has 5 exons. Lineage: Eukaryota; Viridiplantae; Streptophyta; Magnoliopsida; Fabales; Fabaceae. The record is from RefSeq and is a predicted model, not a curated record.
UCUUAAAAGUCUAAAAAUUUUAUUUUUAGACACCAAUAUGUUUUCAAGCCAAAUACCAUAAACUAUCUUUAAUAUAUCUGGGUUGCAAGAGAUUGAUUUUAGUUGGAAUAAUUUGUCGGGAGGCAUUCCCUCAAAUAUAUGUCAUGGCCUUCCAAAUUUACAAGCUUUGGAUCUUCAAGCCAACAAAUUAUUUGGAGCUAUACCAUCUGAUUGGACACAAUGCAAGGAACUCAAAGAGUUACAAUUAGGAGACAACUUCUUCACAGAUUUGUGCGGCUGCUGUACACCGGAGGAAGUGACACCGUGAAGACCUCCGUUGUAGCCGUGUGUCAUUGCUGUACAGCCGAGGAAGCAACGCUGCAAAGACCUCCACUACUGUCGUGAAGACUUCCGUUUUCUGCCGUGAAGACUACACUGUGAAGGAAAUAUUCCUCAAACAAUUGGUGGCCUCACAAACUUGAAAAUUAUAUAUCUACGUGCUAACAAGUUGUCUGGCCAGAUACCAAGGAGUAUUGAAAAUUUGACAAAACUUCAAGAGCUAGACCUUAGUGGAAAUAACAUUGAAGGAAAUAUUCCUCAAACAAUUGGUGACCUAUCAAACUUGAAAAUUAUAUCUAUAGGUGCUAACAAGUUGUCCGGCCAAAUACCAAGGAAUAUUGGAAAGUUGACAAAACUUCAAGAGCUAGACCUUAGUGGAAAUAACAUUGAAGGUGAUAUAUGACUUGUGCAUCAAUUGGACAAAUGGAGUCAAAAUUCCAUGGGGUCAAAGGCUGAUGGUUUGGAUGUGUAAAGGCUCUUAUUGGUGGUUUAGAUCAGCUAAAAUUGUGGAUGACACAUGGAAUUAAUUAUAUACAUAUUGGAAUCAUCUACAAGCCAAUAAAAGGGUGCCACCUUGCAAGUAUGACAAGGCUCCCAUUUUUCAUUUAUUUUCUUUUCUUAUUUUUUUAAUUGAGCUUUAGCUGAUGGGGAAGUACUUAGAGCAUGUUCCACACCCCCUAAAAUGAGAUUCAUUCACCCAUUCCUUCAUCUCCAACAUUUUCUCUCACUUGUUCAUAAUGUUCUUCAUUUUCUUUUAAUUCUCUCCCUACACUUCUACUCUCUCUCCUCCAUAUCUCUCAAUCUAACCAUCCAAAUUUAACCAAACACCACCAUUCUCUUCCUCUCUUCCUCCUCUACAAAACCUAAUAGCUUUCAUAAGGAUCAAACCUUGUUUAAUUUAGGCAAAAUUCAUGGGAAAAAGAGCCAGAAUUUUGGAGCUUCAA